Long non-coding RNA from Mesocricetus auratus (golden hamster), 3688 nucleotides. RefSeq lists it as uncharacterized. The record is from RefSeq and is a predicted model, not a curated record. The transcript is spliced from 2 exons. Lineage: Eukaryota; Metazoa; Chordata; Mammalia; Rodentia; Cricetidae.
ACUCACUCCUGUAGACCAGGCUGUCCCGGAUGGACUCAGAGCUCCACCUCCCUGUGCCUCCCGAGUCACGGGAUUUAAAGGUGUGGGCCACCACCUCCUGGCCUGAGAACACCUUUUGAGUCUUCCUUUUUUGUACUGUGGGUUUGGGGCAUUAGGCUAAGGUUAUGAUAUUGUGCGGCAAACACUUUUGCCCACCGAGACAUCACCCUGCUGGCACACUGGACGCUUUUAUUAAGUGCCACUGAAAGUAUCCACCAUGAGGUAUGAUCUCUUACCUGUUGGGGCCUGACCAGUUGAAGGCUGUGUGGAAUCAUUAAUAUGGGGGGUAGUUUGUCCCCCACUUCACCGCAGUCUCACAAUGCUUUGGCAACUGUUUGGUGGAUUUUUGUGGAAUGAAAGAUAGUAUCUGAACUGCAGCCCCUUGUAACACAAUAAGUAAAAAACCCAGAGACUGGCAUUGCGGUUCAAGCUUUCAGCUGAAGAUCAGAGAAACAAGGCAGCCGGCUACCAGCUCUCACCUCUCCCUCAGCUCAGACCAAAGGGGCGAUCCUCACACUGCUCCCGACUUCACUGCUCCUCGGAUUCACUCGGACUGCUGUGCUCUGCUCAGCGUGGCUUGAGACUCAAUGCCUGAUAUGGAACACUGAAGACCCUGCUCAUAUCUAUCUUUUAUACCUCUCUAGUGCUGGGACUAAAGGCGUGUGAUCCCAGGUGCUGAGAUCACCUUUGCGUGAGCCGUUUUUUUAGGACUGGACCAAUCUUGUGUACUCAGCGUGGCCUUGAACUAACAGAGGUCCGUCUACCUCUUAUUCCUGAGCCCUGGGGUUAAAGGUGUGCACCACCACCGCCUAGUUUCCAUGGUUAACUACUGUGACUGGCUUUGCAUCUUCAACCCUCAGCUUAUAUAUCCCAACAGAAUAAGAGAAAAACAAGCAACCCAGAUGAGCCGAGUAUUUUUCCACCGCCGAACUGGAAGCCGGAAAGAGCCUGUUUUUUUUGUUUUUGUUUUUGUUUUUAACCUGUCUUGGAAUCACUUUCCUUGUGUGCCUCCUGUUCCUCUGUCUCUCUUAUGUUUCUACAAGAACUCUUGUAGUUGGAGUCUGGCUCCCUCAGGGCAUCUGAGAUGAUUUCAUCUGGAUAGCCGAGUUGUAUCUUUGAGGACCCUUGCUCAGUUAAGGCCCUGCUUUCAAGUUUCAGGGGGACAUUCCUUCUGGGGGGGACAUACACACUCUUGUUGCCCACUACGCCUCCCUUAGUGCAGUGAGGGUACGGACUGUGGCAUCCGAUAGUCUUGGUUGGUAACAACUGAGCUGUAGAACAAGACGCCAUGCAGAGCUGAUUUUGUUUUGUCCGUGAAACUCCCUCUGUCUCAUGCCCCACCUUUUAACAAGCCAAAGGUUACAUUCACAGUACAAAGUUGCAUCCUAAGUGACUUUUCAGGGGGAACGGAGAGAAGGUUAGAAAAGAGAAGGGAAGGAGGAAGGGGAGAGGCAGGGAAGGAAGGAGUCAGAAGUAGUCCAAAGGAGUCACAGCGUCACACACAGUGUCUUGUUUUCUUUUUCUGCUGCUGAGAUGAAACUGACACAGAUAAAUCGGUCUCACUUCAGGUCACUUGACUACAGAGAGGAGACCCUUGAUUUUCAGGGCUUCGGUUGAUUUAGGAAUCGCCGCUAAUGGUUGCGAGCCAGAGGCUCAUAAAAGAAAGGCUGGGGCAGAUCACAGAAGCUGGAAAAAGAGAAGACAGCCUCCCCACCCCCAGCACGUUCAUCAUAAUCUCGGGCAUUUAAUUAAAGUUUGUUUCCUAUCCCAGGAACUACGCUUGAGUACUGUCCCACAUAACACAUCACACAAACAAUGUACGGUAGCAUACACGCAGCCCCAGAUCUCAGGAGACCAGGGGGGUUCAAGGUACAGCUCAGCUCAAUAGCAAGUAUGAGGCUACCCUGGGUUAUACAGGACCCUGUCUCAAAAGAAAAAUGAAAGAAUCUGGAUUUUCAAAGGAGUUUUGCCCUUUCUAUCCUUUGGGAAUGACUUAAUAUAUUUUACUGGAUGCAAACGUGGACGUUUCCUCACAUAAGCUGGUUAGCAUUGUGGGGGGAAAGGCCUUUGCUAAAGCGAAGAUACAUGUGUCUUGACGUUUGAACUAGCCAAGUGAAGACCGUUCUUGAGACAUGAAGCAGCCAGAGAAAGGGCUUCACCACGUCAGAGCCACCAGGUCAUGUGUGAUCUGGGAAGGGCAGGUUCCCACAGAGCAGGGCUGGGUCGCAGUAGAGGGAAGGGGGCCACAUUAUCCCCCAUGACACCCUAUGUAAGCGUCUUAUCUAACGCCCAGCUGCUAGAAUCAGAACCUCUUCAAAGGGUGCAGUAUGCGAAGAGUUCAUUCUAAGAGGCUUGGGGGGGGAGGGGCAUCGUCACGGUGAGUACCCGUGGCUGUGUCAGAGGAGCAAGGGGUGGCAUCUGAAGGUCAAGGUGUCAGCCCACCAGGAGGAAACUCUCUGAUGGGUCAGUCUCACACAGGCAAGACCACAGACCCUGGGAUGUCUUUUGCUUCUGCUGUGCCUUUACAUGUUUCCUGCCGCCAUCUUUCUCUGGUGUCUGGCAGGUGUGAUUGGGUGUGGAGAGACCCCCCCCCCCACUGCCUGUAAUGUAGUAGUGUGUUUAUCUCACAGGAACAUCCUGUUCUACUGGGCAUUUUUUUAACCUGUGGAUUACUAUGAAGAUGAUUUACCCUUACGUUGUACUGUCUAACUGAUAAUAAUAAUAAUAGUGCUAGUUGAAGUAGAGUUUUUGAUUACAAAAAUAAAACAAGGAAAUGUCACACCGCUACUGACACACUGGGUUUCUGUUGAGGAGUCAUGCAGUUAAUGAUUAGGAGAAAUAAUCGAGUCCCGGUAGCCCAGCUAACUUAGAUUCUCUCAACCUUAAUGUUGGGGGAUGUGUUCACAGGUUUCGGAGUGAGUGACUGCUGAACCAAAGCUUUAAAAAUAGCUUAUAAAGUUAGACUUCGAUGUUUUCGUCACAUAACUUUGAGGUUAAAAAAAAAAACCAAGAAGACAAUCUUGUGGAACUCUUUAAGGUCAGGGGACAAGAAUAAAGCACCCCCAUUUAUUACUAUUUGACUCACUUUUCUCGCUAGGGUUGGUUAAUGACCAAAGGUGGUGAUUAAUUCCUAAUCCACUUUUGUCCUCAAUCUCCUGAUAUAAAAAACUAUUGAUGAGUGGAUACUUACCCUAAAGAUUUAAAGUAGAGUGGAGUGAUUCUUUUUUCAUAAAUGAAGGCUUAGGUGUGGUUCCUUAUAAGAUUACCUUUUGAGAUAAGUAAUAACGUAACUGGCCCUUUCUUUGGGACUACAGACCGGACUGAGAAGAGCACCUUGCUUGCCCACAUGGUUAAUCUAUAACAAGUUGCUUGGGUAUAAAUGUACAUAGGUUCUUGGGAUAAUUUGUUUUUCCACCUGUACCACAUAAAAUGUUUAAUCAUGUAAAGGAUAUGGGAAACAUGCUGUUUUUUUUUCUCUUUGCUUUGUGUUCAUUGUAAUCAUUCACUUGAAAAGCAAUGUAAUCACAUUGUUUUUCCUGUAUUGUCUGAAAAACUUUGUUGGGGUAUAUAAGCUGUAGGAAAAAGUAUACCGUAGAGAGAACACAAAAAAGAACCGAGAAGAAUAGAAAAUAAAGAAGGAAGCCAUCAA